Molecule: long non-coding RNA, 26885 nt
Filed under: Coffea arabica (coffee)
Lineage: Eukaryota; Viridiplantae; Streptophyta; Magnoliopsida; Gentianales; Rubiaceae
Description: long non-coding RNA (CARA_LNC004060)
Source: RNAcentral
UUUUUUUUUUUUUUUUUUUUGGUUUUUGAAGUUGAGCUUUCCUCUUGAUGUGUUUUUUUCCCCCUUUUUUCCAUACUGCAGGCCUUUCUCAUGCUUUUUAUCAUUUUCUUACUUAUCCUGUGGUGAUUCAAACACACAUUGAACAGCAUAUGCAUCUUGUUUCAAGUGUUGUGAGAGCGUUUUAUGUGCUUGAUGUUAUUCAGUUGCUGCACUAGUGCAAUUGAUAAUUAUGUUUCCAAUUAUCUGCGCAUUCUUUUGUUCUUUUCAGCUUGUGUUGAGGAUGAAGAAAGCUGAUGAUCCUCACAGCGCAACACAGGAUCAAUGGUUGUACAGAGGAGAUUGUAGGAUCAAAAGUUAUGAUAUCAGCUCAGCUUCUAAGUCAUAAUCAUAAAGUGGACCAAAUUUUAGAGUGUCUGCCUUUGUUUUUUCAGAUUAUUAUGGUACAGCUGUAGUCUAACUACUUCGUUAAUCCAACAUUAGUACGUUGUAUGGUUGCAAGCAAAUUUGGGCCUCUUCCAUAGCUAUGUAUAUUGGUAAGGCUUUCAGCAAUCUGUUGACAAGGCAAGCUUAAUAACUGUAGUAUCUUCAGUUCUGGCAGCAUAUCCUUUGAUGUUAUUUCAGUAAAGAGCAUGUUUUUCGGCUACUUGCAGCCUUGUCAACAAAAGGGAUUUAUAAUUCAUUGAAAUUUGCCCCACUUGAGUAUGUUGACAUCAUGCAGUAUAUAUGACAAUUGUACUUUAACUGCUUUUAUGAUCAAAUGACAUCUUAAUCAACUAAAAAAUAGACGACUUCUGGCUAUCUGGAAUAGAACAUUAUUAUGAGUUCCUGCGGAACAAGGAGGUGCAUGUUCUAAGCUAAUCUUAAACUCUUGUUAAGGGUUAGAUCAAAUUGUAAAUGUUGUAUCUGUUAUCUGUUAUUUAUAGAGUUUUAAGGUUUCUUCUAUCAGAAGUUGGAGUCCAAAGUGUUGUAGCAGUGGCAUGGUCAUCUAAGUAUUACCGAGUAAUCUUAUUUGACCUUGUUACAUAUCUCAGGUACUUACUCGGAUAUAAUUUUGUUCUCUUUUGGCAAUUGCACCACAAAUCGCAACAAUUCUUUUUAGGGGAGAGGAUGCAGUACUGCCAGAAACGCUCUGCAAUUUCGCAAAGGAAUAUAAAUGUUUUUUCCGGUGAUAGUUCCUAAAAGAAUGGCAAUUAUUUUGGUCUUUUUGGCUGGAAGAAAAGGAAAAAACACGGAAGAACUGUCUCCUUUUAAAAUUCGUCUGUUGAUUUAUUCACUCAAUUAUUUAAACUCGAACUUACUAUGCAUAUGAAUCUUCCACAUGAUCAAGGAUUCUAUUAAGAAAUAAGACUACAGCCAUUUUGAAUUUCGGAUCAGUUGUAUAUGAAGACCACAGUCUUUGUCAAUGCAAAUGAAAGAUGCAUUCUUGUCAAAUUCUGGUAACGUCACGCAGUACUACUGCCACUCAAGUUUACAUGAAUUCAUUUAAUUUACCUUCCAACCAUUUACGGUACUAAAUUUCUUAGGCUGAAGGCUGGUGUGUUCACUCAAACUCAGAAUCACGUACUAGUUUUCUUUGAUUCCAAGAUCAUACCUUAAGGCGAUAGACUAUAAUAAACCCUUUCAAAAAUUUAUAUAUAACCUUCUAAACUUUAGACUAAAAUAUUAAAUUGAUGAAAAUCUUCUUCAAUAACAGAGUUAGUGCCAAAAUGAUAGUAGUCUAAAGUACCUUUAUAUCCAAAAGAGAUAAUUGAAGACAAAUGAUAUUAGUUUGGAACUUAAUCCAAAAUACAGGGCCCUUACAAUCAUUCCUGAGGAAUAAAAAACUCAUUAAAUCUCCAAAAAUGUCAUCUCGUAUAAUCUUUUUUCGGUAACUAAGUAUUUGAAAUCUACUUGAUAAAACUAGUUUUUGAAGUUAAAAAUUGUUAUUAUCAUCAUCAUCUUACUAUUGAUAAGUAUGAGCACUCUUAGGGUGUUAUGUUAUUUUAAGUUAUUCCUAAUUUAUAAUUAGUUUUAAAUAACUUAUCAUACAAUUAAUAACAACUCGCUAUUUCACUGUUACCUUUCUUUGUAUGUCCACUUUUCUCCGAUUGUCUAAAAUAUUUUAAAUUAUAAUAGUAACUAAUAAUCAUAUUAUAAAUAAUUAGUGAAUGGAAUCCUUCCAUACAUUUUUAUUUCAUAUUUAUUAUCAAAUUUAAAAUUACUUUUUGUGGAAAUAAUGUAUAUAAACAUUUAUCUAUAAGUUUACUGCAAAUAGAGUAUUUCUUACUAACUAGUUGUUGUAAAUAUUAUUGGAUUCUUCUAACGGCUAGGCCUUAACACUACCAAACUUACCAUACAAAUGCAUACAAUCAUAUUAAUUGCAUUCUCUGCGUUUAGGCUUUUCAAAAUUAAUAACCUUCCUUGUCAAAAGAAACUAACACUUGAGGACCGUCUUAACCAAACCCAAUAUCAAUCCAAUCUCACUUGUUAGCUGAACCUAAUAUCAUUAUGACAAUUCUGAAUUGCGAGUGCAUAAAACGUUUGUAGGUUAAAGAGAUUGUGCAUAGUGUGUUACAAUAUGGCAAUUCUCAUUGUUCACAUCAAAACCAAAAGCAGUAGGGCAAAAAGAGUAUUGAUAAACUGAAAAGUCAACAACUUCUUCUGUGGCUAGAUUAACAAUGCAAUAAGAAUCCAGCAGUAGGGAAAAAAGAGUAUUCAUAAGCUGGCAACUCAACAACCUCUUCUGUGGCUGGAUUAACAAUGCAAUAAGAAUCCAGGGAAUUUCCGUCUUCACUUCGACGGACCAGAAUCCAACUUUUAUGAAAACAAAGAAAUUCUUUGAUUUCUCCUACAACUUUAAAGACUACAUUUUGACUCUCAAGACAAAAAAUGUUUUGGACAACAACAUAACUUUCUUGUCCAUGAUAUGUAGGCUCAUUUUCUAGUUUCGGACCUGUUUUGUUUCGCAGUUCUAAAAAUCCAGGUACUGUCACUAAUCUAGUUGUCAUGGUUGUAGAGAUCUAGAUCUGGAAAAGCACAUAAGCAAAAGUAUAAGCAAGUUAGUUAAAUUAGUAUAGUGGUUGUCACUUCCUAGUCAAAUGGAAUUCCCGUUCCUUGGGGCACAAUUAAGACCAAGUUUAAUUAGUAUAGUGGUUGUCACUUCCUAGUCAAAUGGAAUUCCCGUUCCUUGGGGCACAAUUAAGACCAAGUUUGGGAUUACCAACUAAGCCCUUCAAUGUCUUCAAACUAACCCGAAUUUGCUUAAUUGUUGUUAAAAUUAUGGAAGUUAUACAUUAAUAUUAGGUAUAUGGUAACAAAGUAAUUGCAUAUAAACAAAGCCCACAAACCAAUACUAGCUAAACAAAAAUCGGGAAUUCUUAAAAGAAAAUCGUGGGUUUUACCAAGCACAAAUAAAAUCCAAAGAAGUUACAGUAAUAAAUGCACAAAAUGCAAGAUAGCACAGAACAAAAAAGGUCUUUGAUUCUCUAAUCCAAUAAAGAGAGAAAAUUUUUUUACCAGACUGUAGGGCGUGGGUGGGUUUGUGUAUAAGUACAACUGACUUUGUGUUGGGGAAGGGAAGAGACAAAGCGUUAAGAAAGCUUUUAUCUUCAAUGCAACAUGGGCAAGAAAAUGGUGAUGGAAGCUAGCUACAUAUGCAUAAUCUGCACCAUUUUUACAGGAUUUGGUGUUUGGUGACUGAGGAGUGGAGCUAAUCUGAGAAAUAGAGGUAGGGUUUGAUAGGGAAACAAAAAGAAAACCCUAACAAUCUUAUAGGUCACUUAGAUGGGCAAGAUCUUUUUUAGAAGUAUAUGAUGGUAGGUCGACUAUUAACAGUAGAGUUGGGCUUCAAAUCUGAAAUUGAUGUUAGGAUCGACUCUAAAGUUAUAGAAAAUUUCAGAUCUUGAUUUUGUGAUAUCGCUACAACCAUUCAGUCAUAUUGACCACCUAUCUACAAUUCUUACAAUCUGAGGACACUUAAACUCUUACUAUAUGCCAAAUGCUAGUAGUUCAUGCAAGAAUACUUAGACUAGUCUUCAGUAGAAUUUUUCAAACCAACCAUGGCUUCUUUUUGUAAGUGCAAUGUAAAACACACCAUUUAGCCAAGUGAAAGCAGCCAAAGGCCAAUCAAUAGCACCUUAGCAACUGGGGAUAUAUGAACUUUUCCCACUAACCAGGAGCUACUGCUACUGCUACUGCUUGAGAUUGGAUGUUCAUUAGAAUGCUUAUUCAAAUUCUUCUUGCAUUUAACUAGGGCUGCAAACAAACCGAGUUGAGUCAAGUUUUGGGCUAAUCGAGUCGAAUCUCGACUUAAUUUUAUCAAGCUUGAACUUGAGUUUGAAUUCGACGAGCUGCCAAUUUAAAACUUGAACUCGAGUUCGACUCAAAUUCGAGUCGAGUCGAGCUCGUGCUAAAAAACAUUAAAAAAAUUAUUUUUAUUUUUUAAAAAAUAAAUAAAAUAAUAUUUUUUCUUAAUAAAUAAUAAAAUAUUAUGGAUAUAUAUGUAAUUUUACUAUUAAAAUGAAAUAUAUAUAUAUAUACACAUACUUGAACUCGAGAUCGAGUUCGAUUUGACCAACUCGAGCUUGACUUAAGAUCGAUCAAUUGACUCGAGCGAAUCGAUUAUUUUGCAGCCUUACAUUCAGCACAUGAAUCUUCCUUUGCAACUAUAGAUGGAUGCAGUAGAGGGAAAUCAGGAUCGAAAAAGUCUUCCACUCUAUGAACAAUCACUUUCCCAUCAUUGUAGAUUUUCCAAUCCAAAAUAGUGACGUUAUUCAUACACUUUCCUAGUAUAAGGAACAACGAUUUUUACUGUAGAAGGCCCGGGAACGAAGAAUGUACGAAAAGGGGUGCCAUCAGGAGAAGAUUCAAGUGCCUACCUAUCAACUUUGAAGGGCACAACAUGAUAGUGUAGUAAUGUGGUUGCCAUUCCAAGGCGGCCUUGUUUGAUAAACCCUUCAUCUGUAGGGCAAAAGACGGUGACAACAGCGAUGUUGUGGGUUAAUUCUGAAGGUGCAGAACUUAACAGAUGAUCUAGAUAUUCUCCGACCCCAAAAAUUGCCAUGGCACCGCACCCUUUCUCUAAGAGUCUAUCAGAAAGUUUGCUAUCAAUAUUACUUAAUUUCAGGGCUGGUUGGCGAUGGCAAAACGGGUUGAAAGGUUGAGGAGACAAAGAUGAGCAAUACUAAGUGGUAUCACUAGUCUUGUGGCCAUGAUUUGCACACAAAGGGCUGCUUGAAAGCAAUUAGUUGAAUGUAAACAUAAUAAGAAAUUGAGAAUUAAACAAACUAAGAAAAUAAAAAACCUGAAAACUUAAUCUAACGACCAGAAUCAAUGAAGCAAGAUUGUACUUGCAAAGUUAUAUUGUUUCUUAGGAUGAUUUAAAGAAGCAUCUCAUGGCAUAUAUAGAGGUCAGGCUUGGGACUCUGUUGUAGGCAGCUUACAUGUGCAAAUCCUAAUAGUAAAAGGACAUUCUUGAGCCUUCAUAGCACUCUUAGUCCUAGGAUGAUCUAGAUCACACAAAUACGAUGUACAUAUCUGAAACGAACAUGGUAGAUUGCAAAAUUUUACUUCACUUGAAUCAAUUCUGGGAGUCAAUUUGUAUCCAGACUUCGAACUUGCACAUAAAAAAUGGUUGGAAAAAUGCUGCUAAGUUUUUUUUGGGCAAAUUACAUUUUAGCCCCCUGUGAUUUUCACUAAAACCACAUAACCCCCCAUGAUUCAAAAAACUAUACAUAAACCCCCUGUGAUUUGAGUUGAACUGUCAAAUAAACGGAAAGCACGAAUCGUGAUGAUUCGUGGGCAAAACGCGCUUGUUAUACUGAUAGCAGUAAGAAACAUUUCCAUAUUACCCUGACCACUUUGACGCACCCAAUAAAAUGUAUCUGUGCUCCUCAUCUCCUUCUUUGACCACUUUGGCACCUAGAUCCGUGCUCCUCAUCUCCUUCCAGCUUCCGAAAGUAAUUUGCAGCUGACUUUCCACUACCGAUUGGUGAAGGCAGUACAUUUAGUGAAGAAACCAAACCAAGAUAGAGAAUGAAGGAAAUUUGAAAGUGAGUUAAACAUCAAGGUGCAGUCUUUUCCUUUUUCCUGAAAUAUAACUUGAAUGGAUUAUUAAUUUUUUUUUUCAAUAAAUUCUAGAUGUCAUGCUCAAGCAGUGCUGGUGGAAGUACUGAAGAUCUAAAGUACCAAUACUUCCAUUGUUCAUGUGGGAGAAAAGCAGUGAUAAAAAUUGUUGAAUCCGACAAAUCUUCAAAAUGAAAGCUAUAUUUUGUUUGUGCGACAAGAACUUGUGAAUUUUUCACAUGGUACAAUCCAACAAGGAGAAUAAGACAAAAUUACACUAGUGAUUUGGAUGUUACAAGGAGAGACAUAUUUAGUGGAGGAUCAAGUAUUGAUAGUUCAAAUUUGGAAGGCUUGCGCAUUGAUGAUGGUUUAUAUUUGAGAAAAAUGAAAAACAUUGAAGAAAGCUUAGGAGUCAUGAAGAUUUGCGUGGGUGCUUGUUUUGCUAUAUUUGUGCUAUCAUUUCUUGUUUUGAUGUUUAAGUGAAAAUAUUACAUCUGAAAGUGCUGUAAAUUAUGGCUAUGAAAGUGUUGUAAAUCUGAACCUGUUGUGUUCAAUGAAUGAAUGAAUGAACCUGCUUUGGUAGUUAAUAGAUAUAAAUAAGCAAACACGAUUUCCAGUUGGUAUGAACCUGCUUUAGUACUCACAUGCUGAACUUUGGAUUCGUUUGACAAUAUAGCUGUCCAGAAGUUCACAAAAAUCUGGUAAUACAUCAACCAGUUUUUACAAAACAAAAUAAGGUACAUAAGUAGCUAAUCAAAAAGUCCAGCAGACACCAAGAUUCAACAAAAAGUGUAGCAACAGCAUAUUAACAAAAAGCAGAAGCAGACAAAUAACUUAGUUGAAUUACACUCCCACGUUUAGCUCUCUUAGCCCUCAAAUUUUAGAAACACGUUUAGCUUUCUUAGCCCUCAAAAUUUCCAAACACACUUGCAACUGUUGGUACAAGGUUUCUGACUCUAGUUGAUCUUCUAAUAUCCAAAAUGGGUUCAACAGCAGAAGCAGCUCUUCUAGUAUCCAAAACAGGUUCAUCAGUUGAUCUUCUAGUUUCAAAAACUGGUUUAGCAGCAGAAGUUGCACAAGGCUGCAUAAAUAGAUAAAUUUAAGUCAGUUAAUUGCAGUAAUAACCAGCAUCAUUAAUAGUACCUGUGAAACUGAACCCUGUUGUAAGACAGAUCCAAUACUAGUUGCAUUUCCAGCAUUUGCAACAUCACUACUUGCAUUUCCAGCAUCACUAGCUCCAGCAGGCACCUAUUUUAAUGGUAACAAAUUAAGUACAGAUGACAUGAUAAAUAGAAAAGAGACGGUAACACUGAUUACAAAUUAACUACUACUACAAUUUAUCUUAUAAAACUUGGACUUUGGAUGGAUUGGGAAUUUACAAGUCCUAGAAUUAUGUUCUGGCUUAAAACACUUCUUACAGUGCACAGCAAGUCCUUUUCUUGUAGAUAUAGUGCCUCUAACUUCAUCAGUUUCUCUUUUUCUCACUUUCAAUUUUCUAAUCUUUGGAGGAUUCACCUGUUCAGCUCCUUUUGAAUCCCAAUACUCUUCAGAGGGCAUUGCAGCUAUAGUGUAGUUGUAGGUGUUCAAGUAUGCUCCUUUGCUAUAACAAUGAUCAACAUAGCGUUUAGGCUCUGAUUUGUCAUUUUGAAUGACAGCAAUAGAAUGUGAGCAUGGAAUCCCACUUAGUUGUCAUGAUCCACAUGCGCAUAUCCUACAUCUUAUAUCAACAACAUAUCCUCUAGUCUCACAAUCCACUUCAUACCCAGCAUCUCGAGAAUAAUGAGCUAUACAGAACCUACUAUUCAGCUUGUUCUUCUCAAGUCGUUCUUGUAUGUUUGGACAGAGGUUCCCUUGGUACUUUUGCAUGCCUUCCCUUUUCACAUUUAGCCUCUGCAUCAGUUUUCUUUUUAUCCACUCAAACGUGGAGAUGAUUGUAAACUCUCUUGCUGGAAGUAUAAAGAAAUUAAAUGACUCAUUCAAAUUAUUAACAAGAAUAUCACUCUUGCAUGAGGAGCUGAAAUGUGACCUGGACCAUAAAUGUGCAUGAAUCCUAUUUAACCAACCAACUGCAUUCAUAGCUUCUCCAACCUUUGGAUCAACCCUUUCUAAUUCAGUCAUUGCUGUCUUGAAGUCACGAAUGUUCCCAGCAGACGCAGCUGCCUAAAAGUACUCCUUCAACUCCUUUCCCUUGAACUUCUGUUUGAAGUUUUGAUAUAUAUGACGAAGGCAGUACCUAUGCUCUGAUUCAGGAAACACAGCAUCAAUUGCACUGACUAACCCCUUUUGCCUAUCAGAUAUGAAUGUCUAUGGAGCUCUAUUUUCAACACCAAAUUCAGUUUUCAACUCCAUCAAAAACCAUUUCGAUGAGUCAUGUCUCUCGGCUUCCACUACAGCAAUUGCAAUGGGAAACAUGUUAUCAUUGCCAUCCCUACCCAUAGCUGUCAAAAGCUGUCCACCAAAUGAAUUUUUCAAAAAGCAAUCAUCUAAUCCAAUUAUUGGUUGACAACCAGCUAGAAACCCAUUCUUUAUUGCACUUAAACUCCAAUAUAUUCUUUCAAAUGUCGCAACCUCAUUCUCAUCCAGUCUAGCCACUUGCAGGACAAUAUGGCUACCAGGAUUCCGGAUCAACAAGGUAGCAGCAUAAUCUCUGAUGAUAUGAUACUGUCUUAUAUCAUCCUCUUGUAGUGCAUUUUUUGCCAAUCUUUUAGCUCUAUAAGCCUGUCUCAUGCUUAUGUCUACCAUAAUCUCUCUCCUCACAGUUUUGACAAACCCUUCAAUGGAUGAAUUUGGUUCAUCCCUAAACCUGUCUAAAUAUUUUUUGUUCAAAUAUCUUGCAUUUGCAUGAUGUUUGUUGUAUUCUGUUCCACACAUAUGCAUUCCCUUUAUUGAUUUGAUCUAAAAAGUUCUUUCAUUUUGAAUUGGGCUUGCUCAUAUCUUCCAGGAACAACCCUUUUUGCACAUGGCAAUAACUUUUGCUCUUUCAUUUUUUUUGUACUUGAUGGUGUAGCCUUUCCUGACAUUCCAUUUCACAAGUGCUUCUCUAAAGGCCCGUAAGUUCUUAAAUUUAUCCCCAACUUUCACCUCAAAAUCUGAUUUUCUGAACUCAACUGCAGCAUUAAAAUCUCGACAACCAUUACCUUUCCCAUUUCUUUCAUCAUCUCCCCACAUAAUGUCAAGCAGUUCUUCAUCAUCAACAGCAAAUUCAUUCCACUCUUCGUUAGUUUUAGAAUUCUCCCCUUCCUCAAAUUUGUUCUUAGAAGAGCCUGGUAGUUGCAGAUCCUCCAUUGUAUAUGUUUGCUUUGCUGUUGCUGGUUCUUCAUCUAUGCCUUUUGCCUGCUGCUGAUUUUCUAUUUCAUUAGCCUUUGCUCUGUUUGCAAAAAUAUCCUCAUUUCCUGGUCCUUCUAAUAACUUUUUCAACCACUCAGGCUCUUCUAAACUAUUAGAUGUAGUAUCACCGUAAUCAUCUUCGCUUGCAGGCUGUUUUCCAACUUCAUCUUGCUUCUCUACAGCUUUUUCAGCUUUUUCCUUUGCUGAAUUAGCCUCUGCUUUGCUGUGCUUUUUGUUACCAGCUAGUUUGGUAGGUAUUCUCACUGACUUCUUGACUAUUUGUUUCCCCUUUCUGUUUGCUAAUUUUUUAGGGGUAUCUUUAUCAGAUGCCACAUUUUGUGGGGCAUCAGUGGGGGCACUUUUAACAUGACUUUUUACUCUAACCGAAGCAACUUGACUAGACAUUUCAUCACGCAAUUCAACAUAUAUGUUGCAAACAUCUACUCCUUCAUGUGCAGUUAACAUUAACUCUAUUUCUUUAUCUCCUUUGAUUUCAGCUGCUUCAACAUACAACCCACAAUUUGGUAUUUCAAAAUAUAGGUUCACAUUCGGGACAUCACCAUACCUACUAUACAAUUUACACAACAUAUUCUUGGACAAUUUUCUUGUCUCACAAUUUUUAAAUAUGACAACAUUGUUACCAGUAUAGACAGUUUCUGGUUCUCAUAUGAAUAUACCACCAAAAUGCAAUUUUAUAGUAAGUCUUUUUGAAGUUGUCAUUUUUUUCAAACCCUGCAUUAGAAAUAGUGAAACACAUGAUAAGCUAAAAAAAUACAAUCUGAUUAAGAAAUGGACAUUUCAUAUAUUACACACUUCAAUGAAAACACAUGAUUACAAAAAUAUACAAUCUGAUUAAGAAAGGGACAUAUAGCAUAUCGCAUACUUCACUGGACCAUAUGAUGGCCAACAAGCCGACAAGCAAAAAUUAUUCAAUGUCCAAAUUGCCAAAACUUUAUCAGCAACCAAAUCACUCUAUAUUAUUGACAAUCAAGCCACCCAAAAUUGACCCAAAUCUGACACUAAUCAACAUUUCUCAAACUAACAAAACCAUAUUCUACCCAUGUUUAGCUGAAAUUUCGGUGAUUUUACAACUUUCGAAUGCAAUUUUUUUUACCUUAAUCUUAAUGCAUAAGUUCAAUUCUAGUUGAUAAAAUACUCUAUGCUUAAAUAUGAUAAUACAGGUUGUCCCAAAGCAGCAAAAUUUUAAAUUAAUCAACGCUUAAGCAUUAUAAUCACUGAUUUAUUAAAUUUUCAACCGAUAGUUUCUGUUCAAAAUGCUCAAGUGCAUCUUAUAUGCUAAAUUGAUGUAAAAAAAACUUACUAAAUGCAACAAUAGCUUUUGUGAAACUCUUUCAUUGCUACUUUUUGAUCUUCACUGGUAGAUCUAUGGUUUUAAUUUUGUGGAUUAAAUUUUCUUUCCUUCAUUUGGCGGUCAUAUUUUUCUCUCUCUUUCUGACGACAAAGACCAGAGCAAGGGAGAAUCUGAAUUCAUCUGCUUCCUUUUUGUAUUUAUAUUAGGGUAAGUUGGACAUUUUGCCCACGAAUCGUCACGAUUCGUACUUUCCGUCUAUUUGAUAGUUCAACCCAAACCACAGGGGGUCUAUGUAUAAUUUUUUGAAUCAUGGGGGGGGUUAUGUGAUUUUUGCAAAAAUCACAAGGGGUUAAAAUGUAAUUUGUCCUUUUUUUUGUUUGUCACAUUUUACCAAUGUUCUUUUCUUUUUAAAAUUUUCCUCUUAUUUUCUAUUAGAGAGUUCACAUCUUGCUGAAUAUAAGCUUUUCCACUCCCAGUUAGACAGAGGAUCCAAUAGUAUUAGAUUAACCUACAGGAGUAAAAUUCUUAUGAUUAACUAAUGCUUGAUACCCUAUCUGAAAUAGUUACAAUUCAGGAACACUAGGCUUGCGGCAUCAGAAAUAUUACUACUUUACGCAAUACUUCAGAAAUCAUUAUUUUUCUGUCAAUUGCCUUCUGCUUUACUUCUUGAUUUUGGGCCAUGUCACUUUCGACAUAUCAAAAUUGAAUUCCUCGUUUCAAAAAGAAACUUAUAACCCAAAGAAACUUGUUUGACACGGAACUUGUGAGGCCUUAUCCACGUUGCAAUAGAGGAGAUCUUGAUUCAAUGUCUCCUUUUAGUAACAACACAGCAACCAUUAUCCCAACCAAAGUAGCGAUGACACAUGGUCAGACUUCUCCCGGAUUUUAGUGUUUUACCAAUAGUCAUUUAUUUUCAUUUUUCCUAUUUUCUAUCCAGAUUUGUGGGGUAAGAAUUCUUGCUGAAAGAUGGAAAAAGCUUAAGUAUCCUUUCAAGCAAAGGACAAGAAUAUAAGCUUACUUACUAAUGACAAAGUUCGAUAAUCUUUGUCAAUCUUUUCUUUAAUCCUCAGUCUUUGCACGAAAUCAUAGAAAAAUUAUUUGUAAUUAACCUAUGGAUUAUUUUUUGGCCUGAAUUGUAAACGGUCAAAUAUUUUAUAUGUGGUUGGUCCAAUUUAUGUGUCCGGUUUAGUUUGAACCAAGCCAAGCCAUUCAAACGAAGCCAAGGUCGAUUGAUAAUUUUUGUUGUCAAAAUUCGAUAAAUAUUUAAAUUAUUCUAUGGGUGUAAAUGUCCAAGUGAUUAUAGUUUUCACACAUGCCCCUAUUUAAAAUGAUUGUGUCAUAUAAUUGGAUGAAAAUCAGACUACUACUUAUUCCUUUGGUAACUCCCCUAUUAGAAUUAAUGUGUGGCUAUGCCUUAUUAACUGUCACUCUCUUGUAUUGGUUUGUUGGGUGAAAUUGAACUUUAGCCUUUUGCGUCCAGUUUGGCACCUUUUCAAUACAAGCCAUUUAUGAUUUCAAAAAAGGUUAAUUACAAUCAAUUCCCGUUAGGUAUGCAUAAUUCUUAUUUUAUUUCCUAACCUUUUUCCUUUUAUCACUUCACCCCCUUUUAGACCAAGCUACCCUUCUCUUAUUCUAUUUUCUUAUCUUUUCUUUUUCAUUUGUUUUCAUUUUACUUUCCUUUUCGCAUUGUCAAUUUCUUUUUCUUUUUCUUCUUUCUUUAGUCAUUCCAUCCCUAUCUCUAUCAAAUUAUUUUCCUUCCCUCUUGGCUAUCAUUAUUUUCAAAGAAAGAAAAACAAAGCUAUAUUUGAUGGAUUGCCACUUCCAUCACUAGAUCAUUUGCGACUAUAGUUGUCAUCCAUCAAUGCCAUUUCUUACAACCACCAUCGUUACAUUACGUCACCCAUGCUUCAGUUUGGUUAACUUUUUAAAAAAUUAAUCUCUUCAUCUAUCUGAUCCGGAGAAAUUAAUUUAAAUAUAAUGUGCCAUAGAGUUGAGGAAUUUCAACUCUCAAAUUAUAACUUAAAGAAUUGAGAGCUACAAAGUGCAAAAGACAUAAUUGAAUUCCUUUCUAAUCUCUCUAAGUAGAUUCUAUAUCCAUAUCCCGAAAAAUGGGCAUCUAAAAUUCCUUUCUUUUUUCUUUAAUCCACAUAUGUCUUUUUCUGUUUCUUUUUCCCUUUUUUAAUACUUAUGAUUUCUUUUUUAUUAAUUAUUCAUCUAAAGAAAUUGCGGGCUUUGGAAUAAAGAGAUGAUGCCAAGAAGAUAGGAGAGAGAAAAGAGAGAAGACAAGGAAAAAUCAAAAUCAAGAUAAUGGAAGGGCAAUUUUAUCUGAUAUAGGGGAUAAAGUGACACACUUUAAAGGUUAGAGGGUAAAGUGAGGAUCAGAUCAUACCUUAGGGUGAUAGAUUAUAAUAAACCCUUUCAAAAAUUUAUGGAUUAAUCUUUCUUACACUGACAGUAUACACACUGUCAGCGUUAGAUGAAUGACAACUAUGCAAAAUUUGAAUUUGAAAUUUAACUUUUGCAUAUAUGUUAUGAAACAAACGGUGACAGUGCAUAUACUAUCAGUGUAUAUAAGAUUUACUCAAAAUUAUAUGUAACCUUCUAAACUUUAGACUAAAAUAUUAAAUUGAUGAAAAUCUUCUUUAAUAAUGGAGUUAGUACCAAAUUGAUAUUAGCCUAAAGUACAUUUAUGUCCAAAAAAGAUAAUUGAAGACAAAUGAUAUUAGUUUCGAACUUAAUCCAAAAUACAAGACCCUUACAAUUAUUCUUGAGGCAAAAAAAAAAACUCAUUAAAUCUCCAAAAAUGUCAUCUUGUAUAAUCUUUUGUUUUUUUGUAACUAAGUAUUUGAAAUCUACUUGACAAAACUAGUUUCUGAAGUUAAAAUUGCUCUGACAUUGUAUAAUUAGCUCUGGCAAUAACACUGCUCUUAUUAUUAUCAUCAUCAUCUUACUAUUGAUAAAGUAUGAGCACUCUUAAGGUGUUAUGUUAUUUUAAGUUAUUCCUAAUUUAUAAUUAGUUUUAAAUAACUUAUCAUACAACUAAUAACAACUCGCUAAUCACUAUUACCUUUCUUUGUAUGUCCACUUUUCUAUCUCUUAAUUUUUGUUUACUAGAUUGUCUAAAAUAUCUUAAAUUAUAAUAGUAACUAACAAUCAUAUUAUAAAUAAUUAUUGAAUGGAAUCCUUCCGUACAUUUUUAUUUCAUAUUUAUUGUCAAAUUUAAAAUUACUUUUUGUGGAAAUAAUGUAUAUAAACAUUUAUCUAUAAGUUUACUGUAAAUACAGUAUUUCUUACCAACUAGUUGUUAGAAAUAUUAUUGGAUUCUUCUAACAGCUAGGCACUAGCACUGCCAAACUUACCAUACAAAUGCAUACAAUCAUAUUAAUUGCAUUCUCUGCGUUUAGGCUUUUCAAAAUUAAUCACACUCCUUGUCACAAGAAACUAACACUUGAGAACCAUCUUAACCAAACCCGAUAUCAAUUCAAUCUCAUUUGUUAGCCAAACCUAAUAUCAUUAUGGAGAUUCUGAAAUGCGAGUGCAUAAAAUGUUUGUACAUCGAAGAGAUUGCAUGUAUUGUGUUACAAUAUAGUACACAUGCACACACACUACACACAUGUAAUACAUUUGAAAUGGGGGUAGGGUUUGACAGGGAAACAAAAAGAAAACCCUAACAAUCUUGCAAAUCUCUUAGAUGGGCAAGAUUUUUUUAGAAGUAUAUGAUGGUAGGUCAGCUAUUAAUGGUAGAAUUAGGCUUCAAAAUCUGAAAUUGAUGUUAGGAUGGACUCUGAAGCUAUAGAAACUUCCAAAUCUUGAUUUUGUGAUAUCGAGUCAAGAAUUUUGAUUGGUUAGAUCUAAUAGAACUUUAGGUUGUUGUUGUGUUUCAAUUAGUUAGAUCUAAUAGAACUCUAAGUUGUUGAUUUUAUGUUUAAAAGAAUUAGGGAACUUCUGCAUUCAAUUCGAGGGACUAGAAUCCAACUCUUACAAAAACAGAGAAAUUUCUUGAUUUCACCAUAGCUCUGAAGACAACCUUCAAUUUUCAAAUCCAAAAAAUAUUUAGACAAUGACAUAGCUUUUCAAUCAUCCCAAUUUCACAAUUUCGCUCUAGUUUUAUAUUUUUUUUCUUCAGAGUUCUGUAAAUCCAAGUAUCAUGACUAAAUUGGUUGUCAUCUUGAAGAGUUUUGUUUCAUUUCGAAGUUCUGAAAAUCCAAUUAUCAUGAUUAACGUGGUUGUUAUGCUUGAAGAGUCUCGACAAACACAUAACCAAGUGUACUUAGUAACCAGUUUAAUUGUAAUUAGCAUUCAAUCAUAGAGUUUAACUAGAAAUGUCUCGAGAAACACAUAACCAAGUGUAUACUAGUUUAAUUGUAAUUAGCAGUCAAUCUUAGAGUUUAACUAGAAACUAUCCAAAACACGUAAUCACUUAAAUAGCUACUACAUAGCCAAAAGAUACACAUCUAUUAUAAAUGUUAAUCUGCCUUUAAAGUAUUACAUUCACAUUCACAAAUACAAAUGGUGUCAUAAAAAAACUAUAAAUUAAUAAUUAGGAAAUGUAACAAAUUGCUAGAAAAUGCCCAGGUAAGCUGUGUAGAUGAUAACACACAAUUGAUGCAUAAUCUUCGCACAAUUUGCUAUUAAUGAAAGCACAAGCAAAGCUAAGAAACCUACCAAUAUUUCUUCAUAAACCCAGCAAAUUCGAUAGCCUAUAAGUUUGAUGUUCUUUGACAAAUUACAACAUGCACAAGGUUGAAUAUGAAUUCAUAAAUAUAUCAAUGAACUAAGGCUUCUCAUGCAUCAAAUUCACUCUGAUAUACAUUGGCAAUUACCAAAACGCCAAUGAAAACCAUCACCACUAAAGAUCUGUUUGUUUGAACUCAAAAUAUUUUCCUUUACUUUUGCUGUUUGAGUGUAUUGAAAUAGGUAAAAUAUUUUACCCGGAUAAGUUACGCACACCACACACAACAAGAGAAAAGAAUUCACUAGCAAACUAGUGAGUUCACCAUAAACUAGGCACAACCUUCAUAUUUAAAGCCCUUCGUCUUUUUAGCCCUAAUAAUCUCAAAAUUUUUAUUUAUUUCUUUGACUAAAGGGCAUAGAAACGAGGUACUUGGUUGGAGUAGCUUUGAUAGUGGAUGUCAAGCACGCAGCACUGGAUUGGGUUGUGCAUGACAGGAUCAUAUAUAUUGUAGUGCAAAUGUGGCACGACACUGCUGGUCUUGGCUAGUGGAAGGAUGCAAGAUAUUGUAGUGCAAAUGUGGCAAGACAUUGCUGGUGUGCGUGAUUGGCAUGCAUUGGUGGUGUUUUUUGAUCGUGGGAAAAAUAUUGUUCUUCAAGUCAAUUAACCAUUUUUCUAAUAUUAUGGAAAGAAAACUACAAUUCUGAAAAAUCCAUAAUGGAAAGAAAACUAAACUCAUAAUCGACAAAUGUGAGCACCAAAAUUCUUACUUUUUCUAUACCUACAUGCAAAUUAGAACUCCGACCUGCAAAUGAAACUAAAAGUGGAAACAAAAGCUAAAUAAACUUUUCUUUUCUUUUUUUUUUAAUAAUUUUGUAUCUGGAUUUUGGCACUACAUUUUUGUUAAACAAAAGCUUAUUUUUAGCAUAAGUGAAAGGUUUCGAAUUCAGAAUUUGUUAUUUAUAUUCCCUUCCACUGUUCCAUCUAACCCAUGCCAUCCCUUGCUAAACUAAAGCAUAAGUGCACUUAAAAAUGCAUAUUAGAAAGUUCUGUUCUCUUUAUCACUUUCUUUUUUCUAGCUUUUACUCUUGGCAUGAGAUCAUGCAAAUAAUUUGUGGAUAGUGAGAAACUUCCAUCUAGUAACAAAGGUUGAAAUCCCAAAAAUUAGAAAUUAUAGGGCGAUAUACUAUAAUAAACCCUUUCAAAAAUUUAUAUAUAACCUUCUAAACUUUAGACCAAAAUAUGAAAUUGAUGAAAAUCUUUUUCAAUAAAAGAGUUAGUUAAUAUGUCUAAAUUAAAGUACCUUUACUUUGUGUAUCCCUACAUGCAAAUGAAACUAAAAAAAGGAAAUUUGACAGAGUAUCCCUUGUAUUAGAAAUCAUCUAGUAACUAAAAUUGAAAUCCCAAAACUUAGAAAUCGUAGGGCGAUAUACUAUAACAAACCCUUUCAAAAAUUUAUAUGUGACCUUCUAAACAUUAGACCAAAAUAUCAAAUUGAUGAAAAUCUUCUUCAAUAACAGAGUUAGUUAAAAUGUCUAAAGUACCUUUACUUUGCGUAUCCCUACAUGCAAAUGAAACUGAAAAAGGAAAUUUGACAGAGUAUCCAUUAUAUUUUGCCAAAGCGCCCCCAACCCCCCCUUUUUCUCAUAGUUCACGAAACAGAAUAAUUAUGUCAUUCCUGUCAAAUUUAAAAAGAAUAUAAAGACCAGCAUCAAUAGCUUCAAGAAAUUCUUAAUUUCUUUAAAUGUAAGAUCUCUCAUGUUAUUGACUUAGGUGCCAAUAAAAGUGUGGUCAUGUAACCUUAUUGAGCCCAUUCCGAAGGGUAUUCUCUAUCCAACAAGCCGACGGCUUGGGUGUUACAGAGUUUUGUUUAAAGAUUUAGGCAACAGAGAACACAAAAAGAGGUAAAGAGAGGGAAGUGAAAGGUGAGAUAUAAGAAACUUGCUAGUGGACCGUCUUUAUAUUUCCUCUGGACAGCCACAAACAAUCAAAUACAAGAGGAAGUUACUGGUUAGUAAAGACAGGUUACACCAAAAAAAAAAUAAAACGCCAAUAAAUUUGUAAUAUACCUUGUGAUAAUGAUUUUUUUAUCACCUAUUUCAACUCACAUACAGAGUUAUUGAUAUUAAGAUUAAUUUGAAAAGCUUAACUGAAGAAAACAAUAAUGAUAUCCUCACCUACUGUAAACGAAAGAGGAGAGGUUUACGUCUGCUUCAAAUUGAUAUGCCUAUCCCAUUGAGCAGCAAAUAGGGGCUGGCGUACGGAGCAUGGCACAAUUUGCUAGCAUAGCUAAUGGCUUUGAUACAAAAAAAAAAAAGUAAAAUAAAUCAGUAAACAAGUCAUACUCUAAUGAAAUAUAUCAAAUCAAAUGCAAGACAGGACACCUGAUUGACAAAGAUAUCACCACAUUUAACCGUCACUUCCUUCCCAUGAAGGUAAAAAAAUGUGGACAGGCGUCGUCGAUGCAGAAAAAUCUGCAGCUCGUAAGUCGCCAAGCUAGCAGUUUAGGACGACUGUGGUUCAGAAAAACUUUAAUCAUGGGUACGGUCACUCCCAAUACAAAAUGGAAUUCACGGCAUUGCCUAACUUCCAGAUUUUGAAUUGGGAUCACAACUAAAACAUCAAGUUUAAGAUUACCAGCUACGUUCCCUUAAUGCGUUUAAACUAGGGAUUAACAAUUUUUUAAUCGUUUACUAGAAGUAAUAGAAGAAAAUUUGGGAAGCUUAAAUUUGGUGGAAAGCAGUAUGUAUAAUGACCCAUUCAAUCAGAGAAUGCACAAGGAAGGUAGAAAUUCCAUGCAAUCAGAGAAUAUCUUGCUUUAGUCCGAUAAUACUGAUAAUUGUUCUCACACAUUUUCUGACAUGGAAGAUAACAACUGCCGUCAUAGUUUUGAAGCUGUAUUCAGUUUGAGAAAUGAUCUUCCGUUUAAGUAAACUAAGUACAUGGAGGCCGACCCGGGGCGGGGAUAUCCUUACUUAGCCAUCACCGCAAAAACAAUUGCAUGUUCUUUCGAAUGUUCUGGUUUAUGGACCCUGCUCCUGGAAAAAUAGCCAUGUUAUAUAUUUGGGUUGGUAAUUUUUGACACGACUUAAAUACAUGGUACGAAUCUAACACGAAAUUAAUUGGUUUGGAUUAAGGUUUGGCGGGUUCGGAUCAGAAUUGGGUGAAACUCGAUGAACCCGAAAAAAAAAAUAAGUCGAAUUCAUAUUAUCCACAGGACCAUGGGUUGACCCGAUAACCCAUUUAAGCAUUAAAAAGAAUUUAAUAAAUAUAAAAAUAUUUUAUCUAACUAAACUAAGUUAUUCUUUUUUUUUUUUUCCAAAGGCAUUAAUCACUUAAUAACUUGUGUGAAGUUGAAAUUAUUAUAUUUGGACAAAUAACGUAUUAUAUUAUUUUCUAGUUUUAUAGUAUCUUAAUUUAUUUUAGAUCUGAUUUGGGAUAAAACGUUUUUACAUUAUUUUAAUUUAUUUCAAAUCUGAUUUGGGAUUGUUUUAUCGAGAUUUUUGUUACUUGAUUAUAUAAUUAGCCUUGUGUGAAAGUAGUUCUAUUAAAAACUAUAGUGGUAAAUUAGUGAAUUAAAAUUAUAUUUCACGUCAUAUCAGAUCAACUUGAAAUUGAUCUGCCAACCUGAAAUUAAUCUGCCAACCCAAAAAUUUCAGGUUAAGGUCAAGUAUCAGCAGGUUUCUGUUAUACCUGAUCUCAAUCCGACCUGCUAACCCGUUUCUGAUCUGAUUGACCCUCUAUUACAUAUGGGAUACAUGUCCAAAAUUUCCCCUCCAAACAGCAAGCAACAGUAGAACAACCUGUAGUUAAAAAACCAUCAAAGGACCGUAUUUCAAUUCCUGUUCUCUGAAUCUAUCCUUUCUCAGGGCCACGUACCGUACCAACCUGUGCGACAUGACAUGUAAAGUUUGUAAACCCUGCCGUCGCCUUCUUAUUCAGAUGAAGUUAAUCAAAGGGUGCUCCGGAAUCCAAGGGAAAUGAAUCUAGCGUUCCUCUUUCCCAUAGUAUAGCAAUGCUGCUAGUUUUGUAUCUCGAAACAACCAAGUGACUAACCAUUGAAGCAUAUACAGAAAUAGGAGCUUUUCAUGUAUCGAAAACGCCAAAAAAAUACAAAAAAAUCAUGCAUAUCAGAAUUUUUCUUGGAACUGCUUAAAUCUUGGAGGAACCAGAGUUUAAGAAUGACAAAGUUGCCAUCAAAUGUCCGAGGCAUGCGAGGGAAUCUAGAAGUCAGAUAUUACAUCUUCCAAUAUAAGAAGAGCACUCUAAAUAUGCUUCAGUAACAAUUAAUCUAUGGCAAAUCCUUCAUCUCCACGACAGGCGAGUCAUAAAUAGCUCAUUCCAGGCCAGUAACAACUGACGAAGAAGCAGAUUCGGAGCUCAGACCUUGCACCCAUUUAUGCGGACGAAAUUAAGGUGAACUAAGAUGAUAGCUAAGAGAAUAUACUGAAAUAGAAGCUUUUCAUGAAAUAGAGAAUGUCUGUACCAUCAUCUGCUUAAUUUUUCUGACCAAAGUCCUACCAAAAUCACUUCAAGGAUCACUAACCUUUAGAGACAGCAACUAGCUUUUGGUACCUGUAUAUAGAGGAAAGAAAGAAGCUUUUAGUAAAUAAAGAAACCACAUAACGAAAAGGGGAGUGGAAAAAAAAAUGCAUAUAUAAAAGAGGGGUAGGAAUAAUACAAGCAAGUCAUAAGUGACACAUUAGUUUUUCCCUUUUCCAUUAUGUGUCCCUAAAACUUCAGGACUUGAAAGAGUAACCAUCAUCGAUUGUCAAUGGCCUACCCUUGUUUGUUUCUCACAAUCAUGCUCUUAUCAACAAAGAUAAUGGCUACAACCCCUUUGCAGUCAAAUAACAAACAAAUAAGUAGUCUGUUUUUAGGCAAAUUAAACAUCUAACUUCACGAAAAUAGUGAUCAUAGAGGAAGAAACAAAACUACAAUGUUAGGCAUCUUAAUAUCUGAUAAUUUCUGUUCGGACAGGGGAGAUCAAAGCAACAACAGCAAUUAAGUGUGACAACUGACAACUAGAUAAAGGGCACACUUGCCCAUUAUGCAGCUGCAGAAAAAUAAAAUAAUGAAAAAAAUAUUGAAAUACCAUUCAUAUGCAAAUUAAUCUAUCAAUGGACUCACAAUUAUCCACAGAAAAGAAAAAAAAAAUGGCAUGUAUAUCUCCUAGUCUACCGAAUAUUGUGUCUCGGAACAUAAAUGACAACUAAACUAAAUCUAUAAAGCUGUCAGUGGCAAAUCCGCAAAACUUAAAACUCCUGAAUAGCAAAAUCAUACCUCAUUUUCCUGGACCUUGAUGGUAGAUGCCUGAAUUGAGACUGGCCACAGGGGAAGCAUGAAGCGGUAGACAAAACACCAUUGGAUUUCCUUUCUCAAAGUUGCAUUAUCCGUUGGUAAAGUGACAUUAUCAUCCAGCUCUAGCAAUUGUUGACUUUGAUAAUCAUAGGAGAGAAAGCUUCCUUCAUACCCAAGAUACACAGUAUCAGAAUCAAAUGGGUGAAAAGCUAUUGGCACCAAACGUGAUGAACGAAGAUAAGAACUAUCACAUGCAGCUUCCCUUAGGUUGACACGGUGCUCCAAUAACCAAAGCCCUUCCUCAUAGUCACUGAGCGUCCACAUACUUACCCUAUAUCCAUCAUUAUAAGCAUUAGAGCCUACAAAAAAUCUCAAAUGCCCAUGAUGGACAUCAAAGAGUAUACCUUUUGUAUCAACGCUUUUGCUCCAUUCUCUGUCUAUGUCCCCCGGAAGUUGUAUAAUCCGAUAAGAAUGAGGACCUUUAUAAGGAUCAUAAGCUAAAAUUCCAAGUUUCCUAUCCAUAAAAUGCAAUAUUUCUUUUAAAACAACAGGCAUCUUCCAGAGAGGGAAAAGUUGAAGUACUUGCUGAAAAGGAAUUUCAAUAUCCCUCCAUUCACCAGUUUCAGAAGAGAAUAUAUCAAGCUUGAGGAUGCUGGUUCUUCCCCCACCAUCUUCAAGUCGUAUUACUUUGUAACUAGUGACAACACUGUGUUUCACCUGGCUGAUGAACCCUACACAGCAAUGAGCAAAGGGACGCUUUGAUGGUGGAAUUUCAACAUACUGCUUAGUGAUGGGAUUCAGAAUAUAAUACCGACCAAAAUCCCACCCGGAAUUUGAGCCACAUAACAAUAGCCCGUUACCGUCCAUGGCAAUAAUGUGAUCAAGUAUUCCGUAUACAUCAGUUCCAUGAGUCUGUGCGGAAGGAGGAAGAUCAGACUUGGUAAGACAGGCUACACCGACAUCAUUUGAAAAUAAAUUCCUGAAAAACCCGUGCUCAUGACGAAUUUCUUCCCCAUGUAUACAUUUAUAAAGAAGAGUCCAGAGUUUUGGUUGUGCAGCCGUAAAUGGUGAUGCAAUUCUUGAAACAAAAGCAUGUCCAAAGGAAGGAGCGUCAAUCAGGGAGCGCCAUUGUUUGCAGACGCACUUGCAUCUAAAGACACACUUCAUUGGCAAACGGAUAAGCAAUUCAACCACCACCGAUUCUGGAAUAUAAGGUAAACCUGACCUCGAAGCUAAUCCAGUACCACAUUCUCUACCACUAUCCAUCUCCGCCGGCGGAGGAACGGGACUACAAUCCCAGAUGCUGUCUUCUUACUCGAACUAGAGGAUUUAGAUGAUUUUAUGGGGCCCGUCGAUUUGCAGUUCCACGCAAAAUGCAAGGCACGGCUCUAAUUCUCACUUUUUGAUGAUUGAUGGCAUGGCAUCCAAAAAGCCUCCUAUGGACUGCAAGUUGCGGCAAGCCGAGAAGGGAAGACAUUAUACACAGUUUCGAUUGUUUUUCUCAUUAUAGGAAAAGCCGCCACGAUCAGUUUGUUACUUUGUCGGGUAGGGCACAUUUAUGUGUUUUUGGGUUUGUUUGGUUGCUGACAUAUAUAUAUACUAGUUGAGGUUGGCUGUGCCAUGCACGGUCAGUGCCCAUCCAAAAGCUUUCAAUUGCAAUCUUAAUUUUGGAAAAAUAUAAUGAAUUGUUUGUACCUAUUUAUUUUAAUAUGCAGCCUUUGUUUAAUUUUUGAGCUAAUUAUCAUCAAAAUGUCUCUUUUUUAGUUUUUCUUAAGUACCUAUAUAUAUAUAGUUGGGUAAUUGCAGAUAACUUUAUUAUUUUUAACUAACAAUUAUGAAAAUCAACCAACGUCAAAGCAAGAUAAAGCAAUAAGAAAGACUAACAGGAAAAAGUACGUUAAAUAACCCACCAAGAUUUCUUUCAGUUUAAUCGUUAAACUUAAUAAUUAAUCAAAAGUGUUGGAAACAUAUACAAUGAUACUGUUAAAGCUUAUACAUCAUUUUUGAGUUAUGGUCCAGUUGUUUGCAAUUAAAGUCAUCAAACUAUAGCUGAUUAACCGAUAAGAAACUCCACUGAAAAUAAUUGCCUAAGUAACAUUUAAUCAGGCAAUAAAUAGGCAAGUUUCCAGUAGUAUGAUAAACUUGGCUAGGAGCAAUUAAAAAACUCAAUGUGGCCGAAACUGAACUAAAUUCUACAAAACAGAGGCAUCAAACAUUUCAGAAAACAUUCUCUUAGCAUGCUAACAAAUGGCUGAAUAAGUAUAGUAACAAAGAAACAACGCAAAUAAAAUCUUACCAAGCAAGAAAAGGAAUGAGAAGGAAGAAAAACAAGAAAAGCUUUUAAGCUUAAUCUAGUUGAUAUGUUUCCUAUUAUAAAGAUUUACAUCUAAAAAAAGAGUCAAUAAUAAGUAAAUUAACCCAUUGCUUUUGGCUCUAAUAUAAUGGUGGAGGUAUGAUAAAAUUAAAGCACAGCUAAUAGUUGAUCGCAUGGCAAGUAUUUUUACAAAGUACAAUCUAACUUCAAGAGAAAUAGCAAACAUUCAAUCACAUUAGGUAAUUCAAGGCAGUAGAACAACAAAACAUGAUCUGUAUUAUCAUCCUAUGCAAGAAGAAGAGAAAAAUUAAUCCAAGGACAACGUUUGCAAAAUGAUGGUCAAAGGUUUUAAACUUUAGCAAAGUGCGCCAUAAAGCUGUGUGUUAACUUUACAAUCGAGUGGUAACUAAGAACAUAACGGUUGAUAAAUGAAAAUUCACCAAUAAAGAAGAAUUAAUUUUAUAAAACAAAAAGAAAAAUAAAAAGGUUCUCUUUCUUUUAUUUAUUUAUUUCAGGGAAAAUCAUUCAAAACUUCCCUCACAUUUUGUAAAUUGACUUCGUUUAUCACUUUUAAAAGUAUAUUUUUACGUCCUUCACAAAUUCAUAUUGAUUAAAUUUGGUCCCUAUCUAGGUUUCCGACUAGUUUUUUGUCGGAAUCAAUCACGUGCAAGGCACGUGAUUAUUUUUUAAAAGCAAAUUGUCAAAUCAAAAUUUAUAUAAUUCGAUCCAUAGUCCCUCACAUUUUACAAAAUAAAUUUUUUUAUCCCUCACAUUUCACAAAAUAAAUUUUUCAUCCGUCAUUGAUCAUGUGUAUGAAUAACAUUUUUUUAAACUAAUAUAUAUAUUUAUUUGAUUUCACCUGAACAAUGCGAAUGGCAUGUAAUAUAUCUCCAUUUGAUUUCGUCUGAACGUACUAUUCAGGUGAAAUUAAAAAUAAAUAUAUACAGGGGUUUAAAAAAAUUGUUAGUUUUUCACUCAUGUUCAUUCCUUUUACUCAAAAAUUGAAAAAAAAAAAAGAAAACAUUUAAUUCUAAAUAUUAUCCAGUGUUUAUAUCGAAUUAAAUUUUGACAGAAAAAAUAAACAAAGAAAAAGUAUGAUAAAAAGAAGUAAGUGAAUGACACUUUUAAAUUUUAAGAUAAUCAUAAGACAAAAAAUUCAACUAUUGGUCUUAAAGGUAGUAAGUAAAAAUUUCAAAUUUAAACUGCAAUUUGUUAGUAUGACUAUAGAAUUAUUCGAAUUAAUACCGAUUAAUUAGAUGGUCUUAUUACACAACUCAAUAAAUGAAUUAUUAUUAAAAUAGAAAAGGCUACAAAUAUUGAAUAGAUUUACAUGGUAAAAUCAAAUAUAUAUAUAUAUAUAUAUAUAUGGGUUUAAAACAAAAUUGUUAGAUUUAAACCCAUGUAUAUAUCUAUUGAAUAGCAUAUGUACAACUACAAUUAGUCUGUUUAGGUGAAAUCAAAUAGAGAUAUAUUACAUGCUAUUCGUACUGUUCAGGUGAAAUCAAAUAGAUAUAAACAUGGAUUUCUUUUUUAAAAAAUUAUCUGUACACAUGGCAAUGGGAGAAAAAAAAAUUUUAUUUUGUAAAAUGUAAGGGACGAAACAAUUUAUUAUGUGAAAUGUAAUGGACUAUAGAUGGAUUAUGUAAAUUUUGAUUUGAUAAUUUUGCCCCUAAAAAAUGAUCACCUGCAAGCCACGUGAUGAAUUCCGGCAAAACAUUAGUCAGAAAUCUAGGUAAGGAUCAAAUUUGACUAAUGUGAAUUUGUAAGAAGCAUAAAAUUACACUUUCAAAAGUGAGUGACAAAAAAAGUCAUUUUACAAAAUGUGAGGGACGUUUUGAACGAUUUUCCUUUUUUUCAACACUAAAAUAUCACUUUUAUUAAAUUUGUUUUCUCAAACAGAUAAGAUAGUUAUAUUUACUCUCUAAAUAAAUAAGGUUGCAUUUAUAAUUUUAAUUUAAUACUAUACACAAAUUAUAAAUAAAGCUACAUUUACACUAAGACUCGCUAAUUUUUUUCUUUUUUCUUUGAUCAUGAGAGCAUAAAAUGUGCCUUUUCUCUCAUCGCAAAAAUAUAAAUUUUGACAGUUUCUUUAAUAGUGGAUUUACAACCAUAGUUGUUAGCCCUUUGCUUCAAUCCAAUUAUAAUGCUACGGAAUAAAUUAUCUUAAUGUAUGCUCUAUUCUAUGAUUACAAAGAUAUAAUUUCUCGGUGUUUUUUUUUUCUCUAAAUCUCAAACAACAAAAAAUCUACAAAAGUAAAAUAAAACUAAAGCACAAAUUCUCACAAUGAUACCCUCAUAUUUCUUUUUAAAUAAAUAACCUUGCAUUUACAUUUAGAGUUGUUAGGCUCCGUAUUUAAUUUUAAUGCUCUACGUUAACUAUAUAAUAAAUUUCACCCAUUUAUUUAUAUGCACAAACCAAUACACAAACAAGAAAAACAAUAAAUUAGCACUACAAUUUGUCGGAUUUACUAUUGCCUUUUCCUUGGUAGCAUUUGGUUAGACUGUCUUUUCUGUCAUCAUACUUCAUAUCACAUGAUUAUUCCAUAGCCCAAAUUUUAUAGCCCACAUGAACAUUGUAUUCUUUAUUCUCACAUUGGGGAUAUUGCAUUUGUUUUUAAUUUUGUUCAUAAAGGUUGAAUUAUUUCUGCAAAUGGGGUAUAUAAUUCAAGGGCCAAGAGGUUGAUGAACUUUCUUUGUAUUACAUUUACAACUUUAAGAAUUUAGACACUGCACAUAAUAAACAAUUUCUUUUAAAUUUUAUUCAUGUGUUUUAUGGUCUUGCGUCUUGACAAGUAAAAACAGCAAGUCAUGAUUUAUCAUAUUAAAGCCCAAUUAUCGUUUUUUUCAAAGUCGCUUAUAUUUUUCAAAACUCAAUGUGCCAUUUCACCAGCUGAAAACUUAUUUAUCAUAGUAGCUUAGUGCUCUGGCCAACUAGGGAUUACAGGGGAAAAAACCUAUGAGAGAAGGCUUUGGGGAAUUAUCUAUUUUGGUUUGGAAAAAAGGAAAUAUAUAUAUAUAUAUAUAUAUAUAUAUAUAUAUAUAUAUAUAUAUAUAUAUAUAUAUUCACUCAUUAAAAAUCCCAAAAUCAAAACACUCUGCCUCUACCUUAUGAAACAAAUUUAAAGGAGAUUCAAACUCUUAUCCACUCCUCACUAAUCUUAGGAUCUGUCACGAGAAUUUCAAAUCGUAAGACCUAAUAUGAUUCCGUAGAGAAAACUUAAAUCAUUUCAAUGAAGAGCAAAAUAAGACUUCAAAUUCAAGAUCUUCUUCAGGACCCGUCUCCCCCCUUUCUUUCUCCAAAAGAAAAUUUCUAAAAAGAAAAAGGAAAAUAUGAUAAGACGCGGUUCCAACCAAAACAAGGGAUCUGGAUGCCCAUUAACCCCAAUGAAGAAGACAAGACAAGGUUCAGGAUUCUAGCCUUAAAUCAGACGCAUGCUAAAUACGAUAUUCUAUCCAACGUUUGAAAGAAAUCUUUCAAAAUGGAGAAGUGAGAACGACAAGACACAGUAAGAAAUAUCAAGCCUUACGUUUCAGCCGAGAAAACAAUUGACUUUAUAUUUGAGUUACAUCUAGUCAAAAUUAACCAAUAAUCAGGUGGGGCAAAAUAAAGAUGAAAACUGAAUCCCUAUACUCGCUGGUUCUUCAAUUUCUUUCUAUGCUGAGCAGAUCAUGGCAAAGAUAGGAAUUGAUAAUAUAAAUUAUAUUGCAUCUUAAGAUGCUCUCCAACACAGUAUCAAAGACAUGAAAACUCCACCCAGUCGCCAGGAGAAGCUAAAAGGACUAAUGGCAAGCAACAAGUAUGAACAAAUUCCAGUAAACUCAAACAUUGACACAUCUAUGUCAUGUCAUGUCAUGCCAUGCCAAAAUAUCUUCCAACAUUUUUUUAAAUAGAGUCAAAUGUACAAACAUAAUCAUCU